RNAcentral lists this microRNA precursor (170 nucleotides) under Pelobates cultripes (western spadefoot toad). The record is from RNAcentral. Lineage: Eukaryota; Metazoa; Chordata; Amphibia; Anura; Pelobatidae.
CAGCAGACACAUUCCAGCCAAUCAGCAGACCCUCCCUCCCAGACCCUCCCACCUCCUGGACAGCUCACUAAGAAUGCAGCUUCACAAUGAAUGUAAAAUGGAUGCUGUCCAGGAGGUGGAAGGGUCUGGGAGGGAGGGUCUGCUGCUGAUUGGCUGGAAUGUGUCUGCUG